GAGAGUGUAGCUCAGUGGCAGAGCGCAUGCUUAGCACGCACGAGGUCCUGGGUUCAAGUCCUAGCAGAAUUC
RNAcentral lists this transfer RNA (72 nucleotides) under Camelus bactrianus (Bactrian camel). It matches the Rfam family "tRNA". Rfam says of the family: Transfer RNA (tRNA) molecules are approximately 80 nucleotides in length. Lineage: Eukaryota; Metazoa; Chordata; Mammalia; Artiodactyla; Camelidae. The record is from Rfam by way of RNAcentral. RNAcentral also lists the same sequence under 2 other names.